RNAcentral lists this unclassified non-coding RNA (1352 nucleotides) under Leishmania donovani. RNAcentral's name for it is "gene:unknown". The record is from RNAcentral. Lineage: Eukaryota; Euglenozoa; Kinetoplastea; Trypanosomatida; Trypanosomatidae.
GUACCAAUCCGCCAGCUCGCGAUGUUCCAGUACCGGGGGUCUUGCCGGCCGUGCCGGUACUGGGUAUGAUGCCCUCUGCUAAAAGCGAUACAGGCGACUUCAUCGUGCUAUGGGGCCGAUCACGGUGGUGCGGUGCGUGGAACGUCGAUUUAUGCCACGGGCACUAGCGCCGGUGCGGCGGUUGGCACGCUGUGUGCCCUGGUGGUGGCUGAAGGCGGUUUGCUAGCGAACGCUUACGCCGAUGCCGCCGCCGCACCAUCGGAGUGAUGGUUUCCCUCUGCCGCUCGGGCUCCCCGGCUGGCGACUCGGCUGCAGCGGGGACAUCGCCACCGUUGCCGAGUGCGAUGGGGCGCGCGUCUUGACAGACACGUACUACCUCGUGCAGGAGGUGCUGCCUUGCCUGGCAAUGCGAUGCCGCGCGCAGCCGCCGCACAGCCCCGCCUUGCAGGUGGUCAUGACAUAUCAGGUGUACACGACCGGUGACCGCCACAGAAGUGCCCAGGUGCCUGCCGCGCGGGCGUUCAGUCCUGUCUCAUCGCCACCGAUCGCGGUGACGCUUUCAAGAGGCGACUCACCUAACGGCAGAGGCCUCGAGGACGAGGCGCACAAAGAGGGGUGCGACAUGCCGCAUGCGGAGGCAUCGCUUACGCGCUUCUCGGCGCAGCUUCGCACGAGCUCGAUUUGGAGCAGAAACAUCGCCGUAUCACCGCGGUCUCCUUCGCUGGCGAGAGAGUUGGCCUUUGCAGCGGUGCACCGAGGGCUACUGUGGACGCUGUGCGCCGGUUUCGCAUGCUGCGGGCCGUGUGAGAGGAGCCGCAUUGCCAGAUGCCUUUCCGCAAGGUGCAGCAGCAGCUGCUUACAGGCAACAGGUUGCGGAUGGCGCGCCAGCUGACGAGCGCGACCUAGCUGGUGAGAUGUCACGGAUCGGCUUCUCUGACAUGCACCGCCGCUGCGCGAGCAGUCCACCUUCUCGGCGUCUGACAGCGGUGCCAAAAGACGCGUAUUGGGUACCUGACGGCCGUGCAGCUGCUGGCCGCGCACAGGCAGGAGGAGGGGCAUGCUGUGCGGUAUGUUGCCGACGCGUACGCGAAAACAGUGGCCCGGGUGGCGAGGCACAUGUUGCUUGGCAUCCCUCGUUAUGGGGGUGGGGGCGGCGAUGGUGGAAUAAGACACCUGCCUUGUUCAGCAGAUCAUGCAGCGCGUGCCAGGCAUCGCCGGGGUGCAGCCAGCCGGCUCGCAGCUGCUGACCGGCCUCCAGCGAGGCUGGCGGAGACGAGGCCAUGAGAAGCUCAGAUGCGGCCGGCUUUCACGGUGAUCUUUGCCGCUUCGCCCCUCCAAACACAUACACGCAU